RNAcentral lists this ribosomal RNA (253 nucleotides) under uncultured bacterium. Its description in RNAcentral is "partial 16S ribosomal RNA". It matches the Rfam family "Bacterial small subunit ribosomal RNA", at positions 524 to 776 of the family's 1533-position model. The record is from RNAcentral.
UACAGAGGUCCCGAGCGUUGUUCGGAUUCACUGGGCGUAAAGGGUGCGCAGGUGGGUUUGCAAGUUUGAUGUGAAAGCCCCGGGCUUAACCCGGGAAUGGCAUUGAAUACUGCAGAUCUGGAGGAUUGGAGGGGGGACUGGAAUUUACGGUGUAGCAGUGAAAUGCGUAGAUAUCGUAAGGAAGACCAGUGGCGAAGGCGAGUCUCUGGACAGUUACCGACGCUGAGGCACGAAGGUCAGGGGAGCAAACGGG